GUGUCAAAUUUUAUACGGAAUUUUCUCAAAAACAAGAGCAGUAUGUUUUUCACGAAAUUCGUAAUAAAAAUCUGUUUAUUUCAAUUUAGAGGAAUUUGUAUAGUCCCCUUUUAUUUGAAGCUGUGUACAGGAUAUCUUCGAGUCGAGCACUCGCAACUUUCUUGGUAUCAUAUUGGGCUUUUGUACGAUAGACAAUUGACAUAAAUUUAUAACUUGUUGCCUAGUGUAAUUUGCAAAAGUGUUAACAAAAAACAGUUGGCUUUUUCAAUAUAAAAGUAAUGCGAUAUGUACGAUUUGUUAAAACCCGUUUGUACUGCAGCAGCUAUGAAUUAACUAUCUUGGUCGGAAGUGCUGAAAACAAGUUUUGUUAGUCACAUAAAAUUGUUUCCGCUAUUAAAUGGUUAACAAACAUGUGUUCGCAUUUGUUCAAGUUAAUGUACAAGCAUUAAAUUAUAAAAUAAUCUAAUUUAAAUGUAAUGAGAGAAAACAUCAUUAAUUUUGACUACAGUAAAUCCUUUUUGAAGUUUAAUGUACGCAAGAGGGAAAUAAAAUCGCCUGCAUACCAUUAUUGGCUUUCGAAGACCUUUUUUCGCCUAUUCGUAAUCCUUCAAUGCAAUCCUAAAUGGAAUCAAAUCCUAAAAUUGGAUUGAAGAGCAACGCCCACUCUUUGUCACUCCACUCCACUCCACUCCAGUCCACACAUUUAUGGUUAUUUGGCCGUUCCACCCCGAUCCGUGCUCUUAAUGUGCCAGCCAAAUGCUCAAUUGCGGUGUCCCAGGACAUGCCAAAGUGAGUAGAAUAGGGGAUUUCCACUCAGCUUCAUUGUGUUCUUAGCCAAAGUGGCCGAGCCGGGCGACGACGAUGCUGCAAAUGUAAACAGAAGAAAAUGGAGAUUCAAUUACUUAAACGGUGCGAUAUCCCAACUGUAUCUGGGCGCAUGAGGACUUAGCCGGAGGAUACGUAUUUACAAGACAGCUGAAAGAAUGCGACCAUCUUCCUUCUUCCAAGACCUGAGCAGAACCCUGCUAAUUGGUAAACUGACGUACCUGGUAU
Drosophila virilis is the source of this 1053-nucleotide long non-coding RNA. RefSeq lists it as uncharacterized. NCBI's taxonomy places the organism in Eukaryota, Metazoa, Arthropoda, Insecta, Diptera, Drosophilidae. The record is from RefSeq and is a predicted model, not a curated record.